CGUUUAAAUAAGCUAUUAUGGUCCGAAUUAUUUUGUUAGAAUAUAUUCCACGAUAUGAAGACACAUACAACUAUGUUUGUAGACCGGGGUUUAUAUUGUGCAACAUUUUACACAGGUAACGUUAGACGUGAUGUUCUAAUGUCAAGCUAAUGAGUCUUCAUCAGCUGCAACAACUCGAGUGAUAACUUGUCCAACUCCACGAGAGGCAUCCAGCUGCAGCCCCGCAGACUCACUUUCUUGCUAGACACCAGUGGCUGGACACCAGUGGAUGGACAGCAGACGUCAUUUCCGUAUCGUCAUUCACUUUUCAAAUUGACGUAAUUUCCGUACCGUCGUUCACUUUUCAAUUUUGACGCGCCAUGCAGAUGUCAGCGGUGUGGUGAAUGUCAAAAAACUGCCCCAGGCUGUAAGAGACAUGUGUGUCCCUUUUAAAAUUGUACAAUGCAGAAAUUGCAGAUGUUUUUUCAAAGACUGGGUGGGGUACUGUGGAAACGGAAGAUGUGGAGACCUGCGAGGGUUUUAUACAGACCCUGAAUUUCCUGAGCAUUGCCCAGACUGCCAGUUUUAGGGGGCAGGAAUGAGGUGUGGUGUGCACAGUGUGCAAUAGUCUAUUUGGAACUGUUCAUGUUUUAUUUUCUCUUGAAAUAGGGCCUGACUGUGGCAUCUUCGUUCUGAUGGUCAGAUUUGACAAGUUUUACUAAUUAGAUUGUGUAAAUUCCAAUAAAUAUUGCAAAACCAUGAAGUGUUAAUUUGAUCUGGAUUGUUUGGUAAAUUGUCUGAUCAUGUGAAUCUACGUAUAUUUUCAAAACAGAAGUGGUUACAUUUACAAAAAAAA
Molecule: long non-coding RNA, 835 nt
Organism: Carassius auratus (goldfish)
Lineage: Eukaryota; Metazoa; Chordata; Actinopteri; Cypriniformes; Cyprinidae
Exons: 2
Source: RefSeq, a predicted model, not a curated record